CCUACGGGGGGCAGCAGUGGGGAAUAGUGGACAAUGGGGGGAACCCUGAUCCAGCGACGCCGCGUGAGUGAAGAAGUAUUUCGGUAUGUAAAGCUCUAGCAGCAGGGAAGAAAGAAAUGACGGUACCGGACUAAGAAGCGACGGCUAACUACGGGCCAGCAGCCGCGGUAAUACGUAGGGGGCAAGCGUUAUCCGGAUUUACUGGGUGUAAAGGGAGCGUAGACGGCGAGGCAAGUCUGAAGGGAAAGGCGGGGGCCCAACCCCCGGACUGCUUGGGAAACUGUCUGGCUUGCGUGCAGGUGAGGUCAGUGGAAUUCCUAGUGUAGCGGUGACAUGCGUAGAUCUUAGGCGG
This 352-nucleotide ribosomal RNA is filed under the name uncultured bacterium. RNAcentral's name for it is "partial 16S ribosomal RNA". It matches the Rfam family "Bacterial small subunit ribosomal RNA", at positions 338 to 704 of the family's 1533-position model. The record is from RNAcentral.